RNAcentral lists this long non-coding RNA (911 nucleotides) under Saimiri boliviensis boliviensis (Bolivian squirrel monkey). Its description in RNAcentral is "lncRNA (ENSSBOG00000036736.1)". Lineage: Eukaryota; Metazoa; Chordata; Mammalia; Primates; Cebidae. The record is from RNAcentral.
CGGAAAUAAGAGUGUGAACUAGUUUUGUAAUUAACUGGGCUCAGCCGAGAUUUUUAAAGACUGGAAAUCAAGCCACUUAGGGCUGCCCCGGCCAACUGGUUCCUCCAGUUGCAGAGCAGACACCGUUUGGCUUGGGGUCAGGGGAGGGGCAUUCUCUCUAGGAAAAGGCGGAGCUUGCAGGAAGGGCUUCCACGAUCCCACUCUCCCACCGUCCCCUGCAAGCUUGUUUGCAGAGAAGCCUUUUCCUCGACAGCUCCCCUGAGUUUCCCGGCCUCCUCCUGAUGCGUGGAGAGGACAUGUUCUUCUUGAUGGCAAUUUUGAGAAAUAACGUGAGAUCUCAUAACGACAGAAGCCACAGGAACAAGAAGAAAAGCACUGCGGGUCAUCGGUGUGGCAGCGAGUCCCCGUGUCCCGCUUCGGCGUCUUGCCCAGCAACAUCCGCUGACGAUGCAGGGCCACUGCCCCGCCCAGCCGGCUCACCACAGCAGAGGCCUGUGACGAGUGACUCACGAGAUCUUUCCGGAAGCCCAUGGCAGGGAACUGCUGCUGUUAGAGAAACGAAGACGAAGAGGCUCCAUGCAGGGACCUGUUGGUGACUCCCAGGCUUCCAGGGGCAGCUCCUGCUGGAGCUGGUCCACGGCACAGCCAUGCGGGUCUGGACCCUUCAUUGGUCAUCAUGGGGCUACUGGUGGCAGUUUGGAUACAGAAAUCUACAAGAAAGAACAAAAUGAAAAUUCUACUACUGAGAAAUAAAAAAAUGAAAACUCAGAAUUCGAUAGUUUAAUAGUCUGUUAAACAAUGCAGAAAAGAAUAUUAAUAUACUCAACAUAGCUUUGAGUUUUAAAAGAUUUAAAACAUUGGGAUUAAAUCACCGAGUAAAAAUGAUGUAAAAUUAAUAAAAAGAAAGUAAG